CGAACGUUAGCGGCGGGCCUAACACAUGCAAGUCGAACGAGAAAGUCCUUCGGGGCGAGUAUAGUGGCGCACGGGUGAGGAACGCGUAGGUAAUCUACCCUCCGGCGGGGGACAACAUUCCGAAAGGAAUGCUAAUACCGCAUAUGACCACGCUCACUACGGUGAAAGUGGUAAAAGGCGCCUCAAAGCGCCACCAGAGGAUGAGCCUGCGUCCCAUCAGCUUGUUGGUAAGGUAACGGCUUACCAAGGCUAAGACGGGUAGCUGGUCUGAGAGGAUGAUCAGCCACACUGGCACUGGAACACGGGCCAGACUCCUACGGGAGGCAGCAGUGAGGAAUAUUGGGCAAUGGGCGAAAGCCUGACCCAGCCACGCCGCGUGUGUGAUGAAGGCCUUCGGGUCGUAAAGCACUGUGGGGAGAGACGAAACAGCGCAUCAGGAAAUGGUUGCGCCUUGACGGUACCUCCUUAGCAAGCACCGGCUAACUCU
This 487-nucleotide ribosomal RNA is filed under the name uncultured bacterium. RNAcentral describes it as "bacterial SSU rRNA". It matches the Rfam family "Bacterial small subunit ribosomal RNA", at positions 30 to 504 of the family's 1533-position model. The record is from RNAcentral.